UGCUACGCUGUUAGAACAAUUCAUCGGAGCAUUCAAGUGUUACCUAUUAUAAGCUGCCAAAAGACCAAGCAGUGCGAAGCUCUUGGCUGACAGUGGUGCCUGCUAAUUUCCACUGCAAGGAUUUCGUCCACGAAUGUUAUCAUAGGUUACGAGCGACUCCAGAGGCAAUUUGGAAUCUCGGCACGAAAUCGUCUGAUGAAAAUCUGAAGUGCCCGACGCACAACAUUUUGAACGUGCCACGGAGGAUCAAGGCAAAAAACGAGAGCAAAAAAGGUGCACGCUGAAGGCGGAAAUUAAGCAUGAUCUGGCUUGCAUCUGGUGCAUGAAGAAAUUGCUGACACGUUAGUUGCAGUCUACCUCCACCAACAGGGUGGAAAACAAAGGUCGCCAUUCCGAUUAGCUGCUAUCUCCCAGUUCAAGCACUUUUGCUCUCUGGACACUGG
Ornithodoros turicata is the source of this 443-nucleotide long non-coding RNA. RefSeq lists it as uncharacterized. The record is from RefSeq and is a predicted model, not a curated record. The transcript has 3 exons. NCBI's taxonomy places the organism in Eukaryota, Metazoa, Arthropoda, Arachnida, Ixodida, Argasidae.